UACGUAGGGUGCAAGCGUUAAUCGGAAUUACUGGGCGUAAAGCGUGCGCAGGCGGUUUUGUAAGUCUGUCGUGAAAUCCCCGGGCUCAACCUGGGAAUUGCGAUGGAGACUGCAAGGCUAGAAUCUGGCAGAGGGGGGUAGAAUUCCACGUGUAGCAGUGAAAUGCGUAGAGAUGUGGAGGAAUACCGAUGGCGAAGGCAGCCCCCUGGGCCAAUACUGACGCUCAUGCACGAAAGCGUGGGGAGCAAACAGG
This 253-nucleotide ribosomal RNA is filed under the name uncultured bacterium. RNAcentral describes it as "partial 16S ribosomal RNA". It matches the Rfam family "Bacterial small subunit ribosomal RNA", at positions 524 to 776 of the family's 1533-position model. The record is from RNAcentral.